This is a non-coding RNA of Hypoxylon sp. NC1633, 143 nucleotides long. NCBI's taxonomy places the organism in Eukaryota, Fungi, Ascomycota, Sordariomycetes, Xylariales, Hypoxylaceae. The record is from the annotation of a GenBank genome assembly.
CGCCUGGUGGUGCAGUGGUAGCACGCCUCGGUCUGAUGGUUAACGCGGCAUACUUGGAUAUGCUGCAUUGCUAGCCUGUUCUCCUUGCCCUAAGGAUGAGCAGAUUUCCGAGAGAGACGCGGGUUCGAAUCCCGCCCAGGUGA